GUUAAAAACACUAAACUAGACUCAAAGAAUUCAAAACAAACACAAAGAACUCAAAACAAGCUAAAAACACUCAAAUUUGCCUAAAAACACAAACUGGGCAGAUUUGGAUUCUAACACACUUUUGGACGAAUUUUGGUUUUAACUUGGUUCGAAAUACUUAAAAGCACAAACUAAAUCAGUUUCUAACUAAUAUGACUCAACAAGGUAAAGGGGGGUUUUGGUUUUGAUGAAUUUGAAAACAAUACAAAUAAAUUAAAGAACUAAUGAAAUCUGCACGAAUUUGAGUAAAUUGAAUGGAUGGAAGGCUAGCUAGGAGGUUCUUCUCCACACAUGACACACUUGCAAACAAAACGAUUUCCAGUUGCUUUUCAAUAAACUACGAAUUCUCAAAGCCCCAGAUUAACUGUGAAUUGCACUAAUUAACCCUCAGAUUUUCCUAAUUUCAUUGAAUUGGAUGAUUGCAUACAACAACCCAAAGCAUUCCCCACAAGUUCCCUACAUGAAUUGCAUAAUAGAGAUACAAGCAAGAAUCAUUAAGUUCUAUGAAAAUCAUAAACAUUAAGUUCUAUGAAUUGCAUGAAACUUAUGCCAAGAAUUUACUUAACACGGUUGUGACGAGCAACCUUCACUACUUGUGAAUAUAAGUUCAUAACGAUUAGGUGAAACUCCCUUAUAUCCUAGCACUAGAUUUAUGCAUGAAAAUUAAGUGUGCACUCUCAACCAACACACAUAAAUCAGUUUUAAUUCAAAUGGAUAAGUAGAUUGAAUUCACAACUUAUGAAUCACAACUGAAAGUAAUCAAAUCAUAUUGCAAGCAUGAACAUGGUUUCGAAUUCCCCCCUAGCUAAGGGGGGUUUAGUUACUCAUAAUUGCAACAAAAUCAGAAAAUAACAAAGUAGACAUUGAAAGCAAGAACGAAGUACACCUAAAACGCUCCAAAGUUUCAAGCUUGAAAUGCCAAGGACCUUCGUUUUCACCACCUUGUUGCAGCACAACUGUCUAAGGAUGUGUAUGGAUAUAUGGAAAGGUUAUGAAUGUAUUUAGGAUUGGUGAAGCUCUCGGCCAAGGGAAGGGAGUGUAUGGAGAUGUGUUUUGAGAUAUAUGGGAAUGAAUGGAUGAAUGGAUGGUGCUCACGGCCAAGGAAUGAAAGUGUAAGUGUAUGGAGUUGUGAGAUGUGAAUGUAGUGUCUUUGGAUGGAUUUUUUCUGAUUUUCCUCCUUUGUUAUGGUGAAGGGUGGAUGUAUUUAUAGGCUAGGGAAAGGACCACCAUCUAAUUAAGGUGGUAGUGAUGAGUGUUGUGGUAAUGAGUGGAUGUAAUGGGUGUGGUGGAUGGAUGUUUGGUAAUGAGUGGAUGUAAUGGGUGUAGUGGAUGGAUGUUUGGUAAUGAGUCGAUGUAAUGGGUGUAGUGGAUGAAUUUUUUCUGCUGCCCAUGCCGUGCCUUUCUUGCUGUUUUCUCUCUUUAUUUCCACAUGUACCAGCUGUUACUCUUGCACAGACAUGCUCUUCAUCAUUUCAGUUACCAAUCAACACCUUUUCUGCCCAUGCCGUGUUCCUCUUCGCAUGUGUGUGUGCUGUUCAUGUUUCUUCAUGUGCCGUGUUCAUCUUCAUCAUUUCAGCUAGCAAUCAACACAUUUUCUGUCAUCACAUGGCAGCUAUGAUGUUUGUAGUUGUAGGUCAACACACUUGCACACACACAUGCUGAUUUCUAGCCUUCUAAUAUUUAAAAACGUCCAUCCUCAUGUCUCCAUGCUUGCACCAUCCAAUCUUGGCCCAAAAAUGCUCCAAAAUGCUCCAAAUAGCACUUUGUUGCCAACUUUGUUAUUUGAACCUACAAACACACGAAAAUAGCUUAAAGUACUAAAAUAACUAGAAUUAAACUAAGUAAAUGCCAAGAAACAAGCUAACUAAGUUGCAUAAAUAUGCUCUUAUCAAAUUCCCCCACACUUAGCUUUUGCUAGUCCUCGAGCAAAAGAAAAGAAACAAAACGAAACAAAACAAACAAAACACAACCUAACCUUCCAACAUUUGCCUCAGGGAUUUCCAUGUUGGAAAUGUGCCCUAAAACCAAUCAUGUGAUGAUACUUUACGGAAAUUUCACAUGUUAAACUAAUCUAGUUUAAUAUCAAGGGCAAAGAUUAUUGUUUGAGCCGUCUCAUAUAAUGUUAUACGCUUAAACGAUAAGUCCAAGGAAUAUGUGAUUGGGAGAAUGCGAUCUAAAGAAGUUAGAUUCAUGAGACCAUUCUUUCGUAGACACAUCCUAAACGUUCCUGAUCAUAGGAUUGCCAAUUGGGCAUUGACAGUCCGUUAAGAUCAGUACGUGCUGUGUCUUCUCUUAGGGAGAGUGACUAGUCUC
RNAcentral lists this long non-coding RNA (2352 nucleotides) under Malus domestica (apple). Its description in RNAcentral is "long non-coding RNA (MDOM_LNC018791)". Lineage: Eukaryota; Viridiplantae; Streptophyta; Magnoliopsida; Rosales; Rosaceae. The record is from RNAcentral.